RNAcentral lists this long non-coding RNA (264 nucleotides) under Hordeum vulgare. Its description in RNAcentral is "long non-coding RNA (HVUL_LNC008462)". The record is from RNAcentral. Lineage: Eukaryota; Viridiplantae; Streptophyta; Magnoliopsida; Poales; Poaceae.
ACUGGCACGGCAGGCGACUUGGCGGCGCCUCCUCUCUUGGCGGCGGGCUGCUUCUUGGUGGUGGUGGCGUCGGGGGUGGUGACGACCUCGACGCGGACGUCGCGGGAGCGUGAGACGUCGACGACCUCCGGCUGGUCGUCGACGUCCUGGGUGGCGGAGUCGGGGAGGAUGGCGGUGGCGACCUGGACGGUCUCCUCGACCACCUUGGUCUUGGUCUUGACGACGGAGCUCACCACCUUGCUGCCGCGGCGCUUGGGAGCCAUC